UACGUAGGUGGUAAGCGUUGUCCGGAUUUAUUGGGUUUAAAGGGUGCGUAGGCGGCCCUGUAAGUCAGUGCUGAAAUAUCCCGGCUUAACCGGGAGGGUGGCAUUGAUACUGCGGGGCUAGAGUACAGAUGAGGUAGGCGGAAUUGACGGUGUAGCGGUGAAAUGCUUAGAUAUCGUCAAGAACACCUAUAGCGAAGGCAGCUUACUAGGCUGUAACUGACGCUGAGGCACGAAAGUGUGGGGAUCAAACAGG
RNAcentral lists this ribosomal RNA (253 nucleotides) under uncultured bacterium. RNAcentral describes it as "partial 16S ribosomal RNA". It matches the Rfam family "Bacterial small subunit ribosomal RNA", at positions 524 to 776 of the family's 1533-position model. The record is from RNAcentral.